RNAcentral lists this ribosomal RNA (493 nucleotides) under uncultured bacterium. Its description in RNAcentral is "partial 16S ribosomal RNA". It matches the Rfam family "Bacterial small subunit ribosomal RNA", at positions 29 to 507 of the family's 1533-position model. The record is from RNAcentral.
ACGAACGCUGGCGGCGUGCUUAACACAUGCAAGUCGAACGGUGAAGCGCCUUCCUUUUUGGUGGGUGUGGAUGAGUGGCGAACGGGUGAGUAACACGUGAGUAACCUGCCCCCUUCUUCUGGAUAACCGCAUGAAAGUGUGGCUAAUACGGGAUAUUCUGGGUCUGUCGCAUGAUGGGUCUGGGAAAGAUAUUGUUUCGGUGGGGGAUGGGCUCGCGGCCUAUCAGCUUGUUGGUGGGGUGAUGGCCUACCAAGGCGGUGACGGGUAGCCGGCCUGAGAGGGUGGACGGUCACACUGGGACGGAGACACGGCCCAGACUCCGACGGGAGGCAGCAGUGGGGAAUAUUGCACAAUGGGCGCAAGCCUGAUGCAGCGACGCCGCGGGAGGGAUGGAGGCCUUCGGGUUGUGAACCUCUUUCGCCAGUGAAGCAGGCCUGCCUCGUUUGUGGGUGGGUUGACGGUAGCUGGAUAAGAAGCGCCGGCUAACUACGUG